Osmia lignaria (orchard mason bee) is the source of this 4094-nucleotide non-coding RNA. NCBI's taxonomy places the organism in Eukaryota, Metazoa, Arthropoda, Insecta, Hymenoptera, Megachilidae. The record is from RefSeq and is a predicted model, not a curated record.
AUUACGGGAGUGACAAGAAUUCUCUGUGUCCUCCACCUUCAGAUUUUAAUAAAAGGUGGACAAAAUUUUAAAAUACCUAUGCUAAGGUAACUGAGCUAAACCACAGCUCUAGUAAAAAGAAUGUCACUAGGAAAAAUGACUAGAAAAUUGCUACAAAAAAGUAUUAAGAAACUUGGAUCGAAAAUUCACUAAUUAAAAAGAUAUUCUAGGGAGGACGGUAUACAGUGCUGGGCAUGGAGAUCAUCCUAAGAUAGCAUCACUAAAAACGAAUGAUUUAUCUCAAUCCGAUACCGUGGAAGAAUUCUCGGAUUUUUUUUCUUUUUUUCUCAUCAUGUAUUAUUCAAAGACAACUGACAUUGCGAAUGAAAUGGAAAACACAUACGUUAAAUUUGAACACCAUAUUUAAAUGUGUAUUGCUCUAGUUACAAUUAUAUCGAGCCAUAUAUCCUUUUCUGUAUAGAUUAGAUAAAUUAUUUCUUCAAUUCGUUCAAAGAAUCAACAAUUUCGCACCAUUUAUGAAUACCAUUCAAAAUCCCCAUAAGCGCGGGAAAAUUCAAAAUUCAAAAUAUUAAAUGUAUCUCAUACAUUAAAAAUCUAAUUGAUUUCAAAUAGAACCACAUAAUUAUUAAAAAAAAUAUAUUACACGUGCGUGCGAACGCAACCGGAUACGCUUCCGAAAAUAUUUCAUUCAACGUUUGGUCGCCAUGUGCCAAGCAUUGACCGUGGACGACGUCUAGCGUGUGUCUAUAGACCUAUUCCGUCUAUUAAAAGAGUAGUAGGUCUCGCGAUUACAUAUACCUGAGACACAAGCGUAUACAUAUAGCAGUAGAUGUACCGUCACGAACGACGACUAUUGUAUAUACGGGCGUCUCGACGCGAUUCGCCGUGGCCCUGGUAAGAGCGUCGGUUAGCAACAGAUUUCACCAGGAUCGGAUUAAUCAGAAGGGUGCCUUAACCUUAUCCAAUAAACGAAUGAAAUUCAUAUAACGCCAUAAAUUUUAUUUUAUGAUGAUUGGAUGAAAGGUUAUAAUAGCGCGAAUUUUGAAAAUGUUUCAUAAUUUUUGGUGAGAUGCUCAAUUCCAUUGAUUGGCAAUACUGGAAACAGUAGACGAAUUCCUAAGCUAUUUGGCAUAACUACUAAUAAACUAGUAAACUAUUUAUAGAAAAAUUCAAUACUCAUUGAGAAAGGAGAUUCGUACUGCUUUCAACAUACACCUUCUUAAUUACCAUUUUAAAUUUUCCCGCGCUUCCAUGGAUUUCAAAUGUUCCCCAUAAAUGGCGCGAAACUAUUGAUUAUUGAGUGGUUGUUUGAAAAAUGAGUCUUAAAUCAAAAAUGUUUUCACAAAAUAUACACAACAGUAAAUACUUCAUAUAAAAGAUGUUCUCAUAAAGGCAUAACGUCAUCAGUGACCUGAGACAGCGAAAGUUCUUUUGUUUACUUGAGAACUCAUUUUACGAAAUCAUAUUUCGCAUAAACACACGUACGAAUGGGCAGACAAUGAAAACCUAACCUCUGUUUGAUGCAGAACGUUGAUUACGCAUAAUCAAUACCAUAGUAAUGUGCAAUAAUGCGAAUGAAUUCGGAUCGAUGGCACGCUGCACUUACGUAUAGUUGGGUCACGCCUAAGCAUCGCGUCAAGAUAAGCAUAACGUAUCUUUGAUUCAUAUAGAAUAUCGUCACGAACGCGUUCGAUCCCGUGGAGCUCACGUGCCGUAAAUUAUUCGGUGAGAAUAGCAGAGCAGUCCGUGUCGCGACGCAUGCGCAGUAACAUACUCGGCAGAAAUAAAACCGUGAUGGAAAUAACAGGUUUCCACGUUGCUCCAAAACCAGAGAGAGUCAUCUACCUCUCUCAGGUCACAUUACUAAUGAUUGGAACGAAAAUUAAUUCCUAAUCUCUGCUCUUCUCACUGACUCCCUCCUAAACAUAUUCUUUCUCGUUGGCCCUGAAUCGGUCUUUACCUGAGGCCUCCCUGGUGUCCGUGGCAACGAGUGAACAAAGGCGACGAAGCGGCUGCGUAGUGAUAGUAGAAGGGGGGAAGGAGGAGAUAACAGGCGACGUAUUCCUCGUACAGACGGCGUUGCUGUCGCGGAACUCUCCUCGCUUGGAAACCACUAUCGUAGCACCGAUGCACCUUCUUCCAUGUUGCACGAAAUCAAGUACCACUAACAUUUGACGAUCACUUACGAAAUUACGAAAAGACACCAGAAACCGUGCAUUCGCGACGACACAAAUUAUAAUCGAAGACUGAGGAUGCACCACGCGAAGGGAGACUGGUAACGGCUACCACGAGAAAGAGAAAGAGAGAACCGUGACGCGCGACGCUCUACCAGGCGCCAUUUACAGAAACGCACGCAUCGGCGCUGUAUACGCUUGUCUCCUUCUCGCCACGUCCCUCCCACCACUACUACCACUCCCCUCCUUUACUUUCUCACUUGGACGUAUCUAUCCGACCUAUCCCAAUUACAGCGAACGUCCUUGAGGUGACUAACACCUUGUGUGAGAAACAGGGAUGUAUGAGUGGUGGAAAAAAGAUGGCGGAGGAGGUGAGUGGAGACACGAAACACUCGUGAAAAGAACAAAGAUAGAAUGCGGCGAAUGGCCGCGCGUAGAACGCUUAUAGGCUUUCUUGAAGAGGGAGGUGGAUAACCAUGGUGAGAACGAGAUGAUUAUUCACUGUUCCACGAAAACGGCUCAGAACGAUUGUGGCGUACUUUCUUUGUUUAAAUUGGGAAACUGAGAAUUUCAUUUUCUUAUCGUAUUUACAUUAUUAUUCUACAAUAAUUGACUCAUUGAAGAUUGGGAAGCAGCGUGUAUAAGUACAGGCGUGGGUAAAGUGGUUUUCUUUAGUUACUAGGAAGUGUAUGUAUGAAAGGAGUGGAGAUACGUUUACUUAACUAAAAGAAGACUACAUUACGCAAGAGUGUACAUCGAAAAAAAGCGGUGAACAGCGUGGAGCAUGGGAGGUUGUUUUAGGGAAAGUGGUUUUUUAGGUUUUUUCCUAAAGGAAAGGCCUCACCACUAGAGCGGAAAUAUUUUUUUGGAGAAUUUUGUAUUCUAAAACUUAAUGAAAUUUUUGAAUUUUGGUGGGAUCUUUUUCUCUUAUACUGCCAAUUCCUUAGGGAAGUCUACCGUACUCGACACAUUAUAUUAUAAUACUAACUGAUAAUUGUUACAAAAAAAAAUCAUAAACUCUAUUGCUUCUAAUUUCCACUUUCAAAGAAAAUCAUUUUACGCACAACAUCCGAAUGAGUCAGCGGGGCGCGCUGAACCGAAUAUGCACGGUAAUAAAAAGAAUAAUUCACACGUGGAAAAAAAGCAUGACCUAUAACGUUGCUCUUACAAUGAACAAGUGGUAUCGCAGAUUACAAUAUGGUACUUACUCGUUUUGUGAGAACGGACAAAGGAAGAUAAGCCUUUAAACUAAUUGCACUCUGACAAUAUUUCAAAUUAACCCCUUGUUAUAAAUCAUAUAAUUAUAGGAUUUUUAAAUAUCAAUAUAGGGGUUAAAUAUUAUACUUCCAUUUGUGUUUUUAUUUUGUUAAUUUCUCAUAUAAUACUAACAAAACAUUUAAUUACAAAACAUGGGUGUGUGGGUGUAUCCUCCCUUUCAUUCUCACUCUCUCACUCUUUCUCUCUCUCUUUCUGUGUAGUGUGUGUAAUGAAAGCGGUUACGUGUAUCUUUCUAUGUGGUAUGCAUAUCAUCUGGUUAAUGUAAACAUUACUCGAUUACUUCAAUAAGUUGUCUACAAUAAGUAGAUGGAUUUUUAUAACGACAAUUUUUACAUAUCCCAUUUUGUUCGCAGCAUCUCUUCGUGUUUCUCUUCUAAUUAAUAUUUGAACGCAAAAAAGAGAUUAGAAACGCUACUAAUUAGUAUGCAAUAUUAUAUAUAUAUAUAUAUUAUAUAUUAUAAAUUAUUUGUCCAAACACUGAAUAUUUUACAACAGCCAUCGAUCUCAACUAUUCAUAAUUCUAUAAUUUUUUUGUCCUUUUUUUUUAAUUUUUAAUAAUUAUUAUGCGUAGCGUGUUUCUGAUUUCCAAUAUCAUAUCAAUAAUAGGGGUAUAUCAUAAAUUUUGUAAUUUGCUAAAAAAUA